UAUCGCUUGGCAAAGAUCCUCGAGUGUCAGGACCUUCAUUGAGCGUGGCAGUGUUUGCUGGCCUAGCUCGUGCUGGUUGUUUGGUGUUUGACAUGGGACUUGCUACUACUCCAGCUUGUUUCAUGAGCACGUUGCUGCCUCCAUUUGCCUAUGAUGCAUCAAUAAUGGUAGGGUAUAUGUAUAAAGUGAAUAACUUUAAUCGCAUCGCCAUUGAAUUCGCAUUUUGGAUUAGUUUAUAUGAGAUAAGAUAUUGUUGUGUUACAGAUGACUGCUUCUCACUUACCUUACACUCGAAAUGGUCUGAAAUUUUUCACUAAGAAAGGGGGGCUAACGUCGCCUGUGGUGGAGGAUAUAUGUGGCGAAGCUGCCCGGAAAUUUGCCAAUAGGCUGACCAAAGUGUCUACAGUGCUGAGAAAUCCUCCCACGAG
This 428-nucleotide long non-coding RNA is filed under the name Citrus maxima (pomelo). Its description in RNAcentral is "long non-coding RNA (CMAX_LNC000977)". Lineage: Eukaryota; Viridiplantae; Streptophyta; Magnoliopsida; Sapindales; Rutaceae. The record is from RNAcentral.